This 30-nucleotide small RNA is filed under the name Bombyx mori (domestic silkworm). RNAcentral describes it as "ovarian small RNA-24062". The record is from RNAcentral. Lineage: Eukaryota; Metazoa; Arthropoda; Insecta; Lepidoptera; Bombycidae.
UAUGUUUCAUCAUCAGCGGCCUGCGCUAUC